AUGCUGAUCUUUACCGCCGCGGGCUGGCAUGUUCCAGUGCUCCACCGGCCGACAGCCAAGCCAUGGCAACGGCUUUCCAUGCACCUACUCUCUCAGCGUGGUCGAUCUGGGCUCGUCCUAAGUAGCAAAUCCCCAGCAUAUCCAGAAGCAGAAGAGGGUGAAUGGGAAGUUGAUGAAUACAGAAGACACCCGGAUCUAACAAGCAAGAAGCAACAGAUGAUCAACGCCAUAAGGACGGCACUUCGGUCAUUGGGGGAUGAUGAGACGUCGACAACUGUUUCAGCUUACGACACGGCAUUGGUUGCACUUGUCAGGAACCUUGACGGAGAAGAUAAACCGCAAUUCCCCUCGUGCAUCGACUGGAUUGUACAAAAUCAACUACCAGAUGGUUCGUGGGGUGAACCUACUUUCUUUAUGGUCCAAGAACGGAUGAUCACCACCCUGGCAUGUGUAGUGGCUCUGAAGUCUUGGAACGUUGACAGCGACAACUUGUGUGAGAGAGGUGUGUUAUUUAUCCAAGAAAAUAUGAGCAGGUUGGUAGAAGACGAACAGGACUGGAUGCCAUGUGGCUUCGAGAUUAAAUUCCCAGCAAUCCUACAGAAGGCCAAGGACCUGAAUUUGGACAUCCCUUAUAAUCACCAUGUUCUUGAACAGAUAUAUACCAAGAGAAAUCUAAAGCUCUCUAAGAUACCUCUGGAUGUGCUACACGCCAUACCAACGACCCUACUUUACAGCUUGGAAGGAUUGUUAGGCUUGCAAUUGGACUGGGAAAAGCUACUCAAGUUGCGGUGUCUCGACGGCUCCUUCCAUUCCUCACCUGCUGCAACAGCUGCUGCGCUCAGCUACACCGGCGACAAAGAAUGUCUUGCGUUCCUGGACAGGCUCGUCAAAAAGUUCGACGGGGGAGUGCCCUGUAUGUACUCCUUGGAUAUUUUUGAGCAGUUAUGGGUGGUCGAUCGGCUGACGCGCCUAGGGAUAUCAAGGCACUUCACGAGUGAAAUUGAGCAGUGCCUAGAUUAUAUUUACAGGCGUUGGACUCAAAUGGGACUGGCUCAUAACGCACACUGCCCAAUCCCAGAUAUUGAUGACACGGCCAUGGGUUUCCGUCUCCUGCGUCAACAUGGCUACGCCGUCACUCCAUGCGUGUUUAAGCACUUUGAGGACAAGAAUGACGGCAAGUUCUUCUGCUUCCCAUUGGAGACCAACGACGCAUCUGUUAACCCAAUGUACAACACUUACCGUGCUUCUCAGUUCAUGUUCCCAGGAGAUGACGAUGUCCUGGCACGGGCCGGGCGCUAUUGCCGUGCAUUCCUCCAAGAAAGACAGGCCUCCAACAAACUGUAUGACAAGUGGAUCAUCACCAAGGACCUGCCGGGCGAGGUCGAGUACGUACUGAACUUCCCCUGGAAAGCAAGUUUGCCACGAAUCGAAUCAAGGAUGUAUCUGGAUCAGUAUGGAGGCAACACAGAUGUUUGGAUUGCCAACGUCCUCUACAGAAUGAAUCUUGUGAGCAACGAUCUGUACCUUAAAAUGGCAAAAGCUGAUUUUAGAGAAUAUCAGAGACUCUUCCGACUUGAGUGGAAUGGCCUCAGAAAGUGGUACUUCAGGAACCAUCUGCAGAGGUAUGGUGGGACACCAAAGAGCGUGCUGACGGCUUACUUCUUAGCUUCAGCAAACAUCUUCGAAUCUCGCCGAGCAGCAGAGCGUCUAGCAUGGGCUCGCACGUGGGUGCUUACUGAGGCGGUGACCACUCACUUCAGACAUACUGGGGGGACAAAGGACUCAACAAAGAAUCUUGAAGAGCUUAUCGACCUUGUUUCAUUCGACAAUGACUCUUCCAGCAGUCUUCGUGAUGCUUGGAAGCAGUGGCUCAUGGCAUGGACUGCAAAGGAGAGCCAUGGAUCAAUUGAAGGAGAUACAGCUCUGUUGUUGGUUCGAACAGUCGAGAUAUGCUCAGGAAGGCAUGUUUCAGCCGAGCCAAAGCUGAACCUUUGGGAGUAUUCCCAGCUCGAACAGCUCACCUCUUCCAUCUGCCGCAAGCUUGCCACAAGAGUUGUUGCUCAGAAUGGGGAAAUUAUGGAGAACACAGACGACUUGGACCGGCAAGUGGACAUGGAGAUGCAAGAACUAUCUUGGAGAAUUCAUCAGGGUUGCCAUGGCAUCAACAGAGACACCAGGCAGACAUUUCUCCACGUGGUGAAAAGCUUCUACUACUCGGCUCAUUGCUCACCUGAAACAGUUGAUGGCCACAUCGCAAAGGUCGUCUUCCAGGAUGUUAUUUAG
This 2283-nucleotide ribosomal RNA is filed under the name Triticum aestivum (bread wheat). Its description in RNAcentral is "partial small subunit ribosomal RNA". The record is from RNAcentral. Lineage: Eukaryota; Viridiplantae; Streptophyta; Magnoliopsida; Poales; Poaceae.